RNAcentral lists this ribosomal RNA (325 nucleotides) under uncultured bacterium. Its description in RNAcentral is "bacterial SSU rRNA". It matches the Rfam family "Bacterial small subunit ribosomal RNA", at positions 28 to 334 of the family's 1533-position model. The record is from RNAcentral.
GACGAACGCUGGCGGCGCGCCUAACACAUGCAAGUCGAACGGGACUAUACUGGAAGAAGUUUUCGGAUGGAUUUCGGUAUAGUUUAGUGGCGGACGGGUGAGUAACACGUGAGCAACCUGCCUUCGAGAGGGGAAUAACGGCUGGAAACGGUCGCUAAUACCGCAUAACAUACCGGGAGGACAUCCUGCUGGUAUCAAAGAUUUAUCGCUCGAAGAUGGGCUCGCGUCCGAUUAGGUAGUUGGUGAGGUAACGGCUCACCAAGCCGACGAUCGGUAGCCGGACUGAGAGGUUGAACGGCCACAUUGGGACUGAGACACGGCCCAG